This is a non-coding RNA of Marmota flaviventris (yellow-bellied marmot), 315 nucleotides long. The record is from RefSeq and is a predicted model, not a curated record. NCBI's taxonomy places the organism in Eukaryota, Metazoa, Chordata, Mammalia, Rodentia, Sciuridae.
GCUGUGAAGGCAGUGAUGGACCCUCUGGCAAGCCUCUGCUGGCUCCACACCCAGAUCCUGAUGCUUCAGUUCCUUCCUUUUCCUGAUCCACACUCCAGCCCCCAGACUCACCACCAGAACCAUGAUAAGAACUCCUCUCCAAAGCCAUUUGCUCUGAAAAGAACCUGAGGUCAAGGACAACCAGGUGUCAGAUCUGUUUCAACCAGGAGUGGAAGCCAGGGAGAGGAUGGGGGAAAACAUGACCACCCAGGCUCCAUCUGUCUCCCGGGGCCCAACUUUGCUGCAACCCGAAAGAAUGUCCUUUCUCGUACUCUG